AUGGAGGAAGAAGACCCACCGAAGCGACCGCCACCAGUUCACGGCGGCGCCGCCUCAAAGAUUAGUCAUAGAAUCACAAAGAAGAAUGUGGAUUCGUGUUUGUCAGUGGAAGAGAAACCUUCUGAUAUAAAAAGGGUGGAGGACGGCGGCAAUCAGAGGGUGCAGACGGUGGCUCUCCAGCGAAGGCAGAGGGUUUCCGGCGAGUUUGGGUCGCUUCUUUGA
Non-coding RNA from Vicia faba (fava bean), 222 nucleotides. The record is from the annotation of a GenBank genome assembly. NCBI's taxonomy places the organism in Eukaryota, Viridiplantae, Streptophyta, Magnoliopsida, Fabales, Fabaceae.